GCCUUCGUGGUGUAGCUGUCAGCACGCUCGGCACGUAUUCCAGAGGUCCAAGGUUCAAAUCCCUGCGAGGGCA
Molecule: transfer RNA, 73 nt
Filed under: Stegodyphus mimosarum
Lineage: Eukaryota; Metazoa; Arthropoda; Arachnida; Araneae; Eresidae
Rfam family: tRNA
About the family: Transfer RNA (tRNA) molecules are approximately 80 nucleotides in length.
Source: Rfam by way of RNAcentral